CGCGGAAUAGAGAAGUAGUUAUCUCGUUGCCCUCAUAAGGCAAAAAUCGGGGGUGCAAAUCCCUCUUCCGUAACCA
This 76-nucleotide transfer RNA is filed under the name Caudoviricetes sp. Its description in RNAcentral is "tRNA-Met". It matches the Rfam family "tRNA". Rfam says of the family: Transfer RNA (tRNA) molecules are approximately 80 nucleotides in length. Lineage: Duplodnaviria; Heunggongvirae; Uroviricota; Caudoviricetes. The record is from RNAcentral.